AAACUUUCAACAACGGAUCUCUUGGCUCUCGCAUCGAUGAAGAACGCAGCGAAAUGCGAUAGGUAAUGUGAAUUGCAAAACUCAGUGAAUCAUCGAAUCUUUGAACGCACAUUGCGCCCUGGGGCGUUCCUCAGGGCAUGCCUGUCCGAG
RNAcentral lists this ribosomal RNA (150 nucleotides) under Tuber aestivum (summer truffle). Its description in RNAcentral is "5.8S ribosomal RNA". It matches the Rfam family "5.8S ribosomal RNA". From Rfam's summary of the family: 5.8S ribosomal RNA (5.8S rRNA) is a component of the large subunit of the eukaryotic ribosome. The record is from RNAcentral. Lineage: Eukaryota; Fungi; Ascomycota; Pezizomycetes; Pezizales; Tuberaceae.